GCAUGUGGCUGUUUAAUAUACAAGACAGAAGAACUAGAUUAGAGGGAUUUUUGUUGUGAUUUACAGCAGCUAAUUGCCAGGAACUUGAUUUUCCAAAGUCCCUACUGUCAAGAAGUGGAUUAUAGAGAGAGGACAAAACAACAAAGCAUCCUUGAUGAUCAGCUUAGAAAUUACAGGAAACACAACAGACUUACUUGGACGUUGUAACUUUGGGCUUAUAAAAACAUCAAACACCAACACCAUGCAUUGACUUCACCGAUGUUCUCACCUCGUAACUAUCGUAUCCUUAAAAUUUAAGUAUCUUUCUGCAUUUUCUCGAAUGCUUCCUUUAUCUUCCUUAGAUUCUCCAAAAGCUUUUAUCUUCUUUCAGUUCCCUUGACUUUCAGAAAAGUCCUGUACAAAGAGUUUUGUUACAUACAGAACUCACAAUAACUAUGGCUUCAAUGGAUAAAAACUCAUUGAGAUAUGGCAGAGCCUCUCAGCCGUUUUCUGCUGAUUCAUCGAAGCCAAGGCGAAGCGGGUAUGAACCUUCUGAUACGGAAACUGAUUGGCAAGAAAGUCCUCAAUGUGAUCAGAAUCACAACAGUAUGGUUUUUGGUCCUCAGAGUCCAAAGAUGGAUUUGGAUUUGCCAAGAAAAAUUAGUCCUAUGAGACAAGGCACUAGCAGGAAACUUUCUUCAAAAUUUGAUAAUUAUUCUCCUAAAAGGGACUCUAUGGCCAGCCCAGUUAGGAGGAGACAGACCAGCAAGUCACCCUACAAGACGCGAACACAAGAUGGUAGAGCUAUUUCACCAGUAUCAGUUCGUAGAAAUGUUAGUCCCUUAUCAAAAUCCGAGCACAGAAGGCAGGUUUCUCCAUUUAAGCCUGGAAGAGAGGAGCAUGAUAUGUAUAACAAUGACGAGAAUGUAGGCUCUAGCAGAAGGAAAAAUCAAAUAACUCCUAACGGAGAGGAAAGGAGUUCCUUCUUACAAUUUGGUGAAGUUAGUAGAAUGAGCGAGAGAUCAGCCCAUAGUCGUAGAUCGGUAACUGCUCCAAGACAAAGAGCCAAGGAGGAUCAAGAAAAUGAUCAUGGUCAUAGGAAGCAAAAAGGGGAGAGAUCCCCAUCACCUUUGCCAAGAAGCAUGACUAGAAAACAAAGGGAGAGAGAAGCUUCUGACACAAAAACACCUCCUGUUGGUGAACUAAAUGAGAUGGUAGCUAAUAUUAAGAUGUCUAGAACUCCCAUAUUUAACGCUUCAAAUUUUGAAAGUACAGAGUCUAUUUCUCCUGGUGAUAUCUUCUUUUCUCGCGAGCAAACAGCCUCGAUGAUGCAGAAGAAUGGCUUGCCAAAGAAUGGUAAUAAUGGAGCCAAUCUGAUCCCGAUGCCCACAAGGUUGCCCCAGAUGGAUUCUGUACUUCAACAGCUAAGCUCAACUAAUAGUAGUAUUGAACAAAACGCUCCAAGAAAUUUGACGAGUUCUGGUUCACGAUCCACUAUGAUUUCCAGCUCUGCUGCAAGUAGGCAGAGUAGUGGCAAGUUUAGCAGUGAAAGCGGUAAGCUGAGUGAUACGAGUAGGACAAGUGCAAGCUGGAAAAAGUUCACAGCAAAUAGAAAGAAGAGUCAAGCAGAUGCUUGUUUUUCUUGUAUGAGAAGGGGGACUUGCAGGACCUCAAGAUCAUCUGAAAAACAACAUUUUGAUGAAGCUUCAUUCAUUAAGAAGGCGUUCGUGGUUGAACGUUUGAGAGAGUUUUGGGCUGAUAAACAUCAACCUUGUUCUCUGAAUGGAUUUACUUGCCACAAACAAGAAGCUCAACUUCUUAAGCAACUUGUACCUCUUAACAAUAUUCCCCAUAUUUUGCUGAAGGGACCAUCUGGUGCGGGGAAAAGAUCACUAGCAAUGGCUCUUCUAUGGGAAAUAUUUGGCGAUGCUUGUCGAAAUAUGUCGCAUGAUUUAAGAUAUUUCCAGGUUCAGGAAAAUAAGGCAAUGCAGGUAGCUGUUCCAGUAACAUCAAGUAUUCACCAUGUGGAACUCAAUGUGAACUCGGAACCAAAUGCUAAAUAUGCACUAAUGGGUAUAGUGAAGGAAAUAAGCAACGCCUAUGGUAUUGUCCCUGAAGUCAGCAAUAUUAAUUUUAAGCCUGAUUAUAGAGUACUAGCUCUUUACCAGGUUGACAAAGCGACAGAGAACAUUCAGCACUUGAUAAAAUGGAUAAUGGACUGUUAUACAGAUGCAUGUAAACUCAUAUUGUGCUGUGAAGAUGAUGUAGAGAUCCUAGAAUCAGUGAAGAACCGCUGCAAAGUUAUUAAAGUCGAUGCUCCAGUAACUCAUGAAAUCAUGGAGGUUCUCAUUCAGAUAGCCAGGAAAGAGGGCUUUGAUCUACCUAUGAACUUUGCAGCUAGGAUUGCUGCCAAAUCAAAGCAGAACCUGAGAAAAGCAAUCAUGGCUCUUGAAGCAUGCAAAGCACACAACUAUCCUUUUGCUGAUGAUCAGCCAAUUCCAUUUGGGUGGGAAGAGGUCUUGGUAGAACUUGCAACAGAAAUCCUUACUGAUCCAUCACCUAAGAGACUGUUUUUGGUGCGGGGAAAGCUUCAAAAGCUUCUUGUGGAUUUUGUGCACCCCAAACUAAUUCUCCUGAAACUCGUCGAACAAUUCCUUAAGGGAGUGCAGGCCAGUUCAAGAAGGGACCUCUAUUAUUGGCAUGGUUAUUAUGAUAAGAGGCUCCCAACAGGAUCAAGUGCUUUGCUCAAAUUAGAAGAGUUUGUGGCCAAGUUCAUGAGCAUACACAGAAAGUGUUCUGGCAAUCAUCAGUAUGAAUAAUUCACAUGAAGCUAGUUUUGAGAUCCCCCUUUCAACAGGCAUAUAACGCCAUUUUUAGGUAAUACUGCUAUAGAUGCUGCUCAGAAAUGUAACUAUAUCAAUUUGUUUUGCUUUCUUAAAAGAUGAAGGGAGAUAAUCAACAUACAAAGUGAACUUGUAUGUAUUGUUGGCUUCAAUGGGAUAAAGAUUCAGCAGACUGCUCUUCCAUCACCAAGCAUCCAGGUAAGGUGAUACAGCAAAGCUUACUGGCAAGUAUCCUGAUGCUUGUGUUGACGUUCUGUUGAUUAGAAUUUAUGUGAUUUCCAUUGGUUGACUUAUAAUUAUCACAAGAUCUUGGUACUGAACUUUGGAAGUAAUCAUAACACAAGAGGAGAACGCAUAUUUGGGAUGAGUUUUUGUACCAUCACUGUUUUUCUUCUUUUAGACUCUAAUCUUGAUUCAAACUCAUAAACUCCCAACUUUAGAGUCGCCUGUCAUGUCCCAGUAAGUCCCAAGCCAAAGCUCAUUGAUAGUAUCAACGUUCACCAAUGUUUCCACGAGUGUUUGAUACUUUGCUCACUCCAAAAGCUUAUGUCCACAUGCAAUGUUGUCUAAUUUUGGUCUUUAGAUUCCAUUCUCUACUCAACUUCUCACACAUUCAGCCAUGAUUUUGCUAAUAUCAAUGAACCCAAGCAGAUACAAUAUUUGAUAAAAUUAGAUUUCAUUUCCUUGCAGAUAUGGCAACUAGUACAUUAACAUUGAACUCCCUUCAAAGUAAGGAGUACACAAUUUAUGCAAGAUGCAUGUCUAACAGCUGCCGCAUUAUUCGCUAUAUAGUUGCGAUGACAUGUGAAAUACAGAUUUUUCAUCCAACAAGUAUGCACAAUGAGCAUUAAAAUCUACCAAAAACUGUGUUUUGUUAGCUAUUCAAUAAGACGCCCAGGCCAAAAUUGACUCGGAUGUCCCAAAAGUUCACAAAUUCUAUAACACUGACAAAGACGUGUCUACUAACAUAAGAUUUCUUUUAAGUGCAAACUGUUGAAGUUGCAGAAGUUACAGACUCACAGUAUUUCAUCUGUUUAAAAUGUCUCAUCCUUAGAUCAGACCACCUUCUGCCUUGUUUAGUGGUUCAGCAGCUCUCAGUGACUCAGUCUGUUGCUAUGCUGCUAAUUGCAGACGAUUUCUUACCAGUGUACCUCUGUAAAAAUCAAAGGACUGAUUACUUCUUGCAAUGCUUCCAUAAUAGAUAUGUCAAUGAAACUGACGGACCAGCAGUAUAAGUGAUGAAAAUAACUACUAACAAAUGAACCAAAUAUUGCAAUUCUAAUCAUACAUUUUAACCAACACAACCUGCUUUCCAAUAUUGAAAGGGACAUAUUUGUAUUUGACCAUAUGUAGGAUUUGCCGUUUCAUUGUGAGGACAAAUAGAACAAUCCAGUAACAUAACAAUAUUGGCCAGAAAACAGGUACAUCCAAUACAGAGAAGAAGGUCAAAAGAAAAGCCACAACAAAAGCUUUUGUGAUGGCAUACCUGAAACCAUACAUUCAGAAAAUUUCCACAAUUUAAACAGUAACAUAUGCCCAAAAGAACCUACCUCCACCCCACAAAAAAAAAAAACAAAAUCUAUAAUGUCAAUAAGAGGAUUUAGACAUAAUGAGUUGCACUGAUGAAGUUGUUGAAAGGCACUGUAAACACUUUUGUGCAUUUGUUUCAAUUUAGCUUACUUUUACUUCCUAAAAACUGAUUUUCAUUAAUUUGGAUAAAAGAGGUGCACUGAUGAAGUUGAAAAGCACUAGAACCACUUUUGUAGCGUUUAGUUCAACUUUUUGUUUUUUAUUUUUUACUCUUUUAAAAAAUUGAUUUUCAUUGGUUUUUUAUUUUUAUAAAUAAAAAAUGAUAACAAAAAAAAUAUUUGGCAAAUAUUUGCUUUUUUAAACUUUUUAUAACAUUAUCUCACUAGUGGUGGUGGAAGUUGGGUGGUGGUGGUGGUGGUUGGCACAUCUAUACAAGACCUAACAUUAUUGCUAGAACCAACAGCCUCAAUAUCAACAGUAAGUCACCCAGUCUGUGACAAUAGAAGUAUACUAAGUUAAUAUCCAAGCAAAACUGAAUCAAGAAAUCUUUCCUUUCUUAACAUUGCUAGCAGAAGUAGAUGAAAUUAAUUUGCCAAAAUUUCAUGAAACUAAUGACACGGAAAUUGCCAAAACUCAAGCCUUUUCCUUUUCAUCAAUAGUACAAAGCACAAAAGAAUGCCAAGGGAUGACUAACAUCCGAGAUCAAGAAAGCCGGUUAAAUUCUGGCAAACUGGAACAAAGCCUCCUAAAACACCUAACACCUGGAUUUUCAAAAUGCUUUUCCCCUUUCACCAAGAGCACAAGUCACAUGCAAGCCAACGGCAUAAACAACUAUUUGGGAUCAAAUAGGCCCGUUAGAUGCUAAAUUAUGCACAUGCCAAAAAGCUUAAGUUUGGCAUCCUAAACAUGCUAGGUUCCACAGGUAAAUGUAUUUGGAAACUUAUUUCAGAAAGAGGAAAAAGAACAGCUCGAUAAUUUUGAAAAGAUUAAAGCACGUAUUGAUAAGGCAAAAAUAACAAAUUACCAGAACUUGAACUCAGGUAGGCGGCGAAUGAAAGGUUUGAAUUCAUCAGAACCUUUGGUAGGCAAGGAAGCUCCAUCCAAAGCUUCAAGCUCAGGAUCAUCCUUGGGCGACAGAAAACCAAUCAAGAGAUUCAAAAUAUAGAUCCCCAGACCAUAGGAAACAACAUAAAACCCUUGAAGAUAGUAAACUCGUAAAACAUAUAUCAUUGCCACAGCCAAAGUUCCUAGCCACCUCCGCAUUGUAUGAGGGGUUGAUCUAUCAAGAUAAUACUGAAAUACCCUCGAAAAAUCACUCCUCCAUUUAGCAAGAGGUGCCCCAUUGUCAUCUCCCACUCCCUCCAUGAAAUUUAAGAAUUGCCGCUCAGAUUCCAAUGGUAUGAACCCUAAUUCAGUAACAUUAAAGAACAAGGUAAGUAUAAAAAUUAAAUUAGGCGGUAUAUAAAAGAUGUCAAGAUAACUCAUCAAGAACUAUAAAACCUAGAAACACUUUGACCUCAAUGCUACAAAUUCUAGCUAACAAAACAGAGCGUUGAACGAUAUUUAUUUCCUAUAAUGGUGACUGUAUUCAAGUGACAUGCGAUUGCGAGCCAGUGAGGGUUUAAGAAUCCAAGUGAAAGAUAGUUACAAAAAGAUACCAGAAAAAUGCUUGAGAGCAUCUAGGGUUUUAUCCGGUAAGCCAAACGAGGAAGAAAGUGAAU
This 6073-nucleotide unclassified non-coding RNA is filed under the name Hevea brasiliensis (rubber tree). The record is from RNAcentral. Lineage: Eukaryota; Viridiplantae; Streptophyta; Magnoliopsida; Malpighiales; Euphorbiaceae.